Molecule: long non-coding RNA, 4836 nt
Organism: Mya arenaria
Lineage: Eukaryota; Metazoa; Mollusca; Bivalvia; Myida; Myidae
Exons: 4
Source: RefSeq, a predicted model, not a curated record
CAUGAGUACACCACAGCGAACAAAAAUGCUGGUUUGUAAAACAUUGGAAGAGGCUUUAAGGAAAAUCCAGGAGCUGGAAAUGCAAGAUAAUUUGUGCCUGACUCUAGUACGAAGAAUUUUGGGAAGACGAUUUGGCCUAAAAAGACCUGUAGCAGUUAACAAGCUAUUAGAUGCACAAUAGCACAAAAUGACCACCACCACUAUCACCCUAAAGUGUGUGCUUGGUGUCUGUCUACACGUGCUUGCUUCUGGAAUGUUGAAGAACAAACUGUGUUGAAACGCCAACUGGAGUUGAUCAUGGACCUUUGCCGCCCUUCAUCCAGAGCCUUCCACAGAGAUGGCAGAUAUAUCGCUGCCUGGACCAACAGUUGAGUCCAUGAUAUCAGUAGCAGCCAUGAAAACAUCUACAGAAUUACAUCUGCCUAUUAAUGGAUACAUUCUGCACCACUUCCAUGUGCUGUCAGUUUGAAACGUCUCUACUCUGACAGAAGGAAGGGAAUGAAUCCCCAGGAUUGUUCCUCAGGAAAAUCUCUUCAACAGGCUGUUGUCAGUUUGCAUGCUCUUUGGAUGGAAUUACCCUACCUCGGCUUGCAGAGAAUCUGUGAUAUAAAAGACCUCUUUUGUGCUGCAUUGUGUCAUUGAUUUAUUGACCUUAAAGAUAUUUUAUAUGUAUCAUGCCACUAUUGUAAAAACAAAUGGGCAUAUGUUUUAGCAUAUGUUUUCAAACAGACACAUUUAUAUUUCAAACAGACACAUUUAUAUUUUUGAAUAACUUGAAAAUACAUUUUGUAGGUUGACUUCACACCAUGAAACAUUUAUGGUAGGUUAUAUUUGACCAGAACAUGACAAGUAUUGUUUUUGGUCGAAGGUGAAGGUAAUGGCAAACAGUGGUUAUUCUGCACAAUGACCCUUGAAUUCUUUGACCUAGGACCAUUAAUAUUUAGUGAUUGAUAAUCAGUCCAACUCAUAUGUGAAAGGGACAUGAUGAAAUUGAGCAAGAGCUUAUUAGCAUUGCAAAUUAUUAUUUGUGCAUUUUUAGCUCGACUAUUCGAAGAAUAGGUGGGCUAUACUAUCGUUAACAAUUCUGCGUUAAAGUUUUCAUUUUAUGUAAUAAAAUCAAGAGUUUUUAUCCAAUGGUAAUCAAACUUGGUCAGACUAUUUGUUGGCAUGUUAUCUUGAAGAUAUAUGAAUAUGGGUCAUCCCUGGUCAAAUUCUAGGUCACUAGGUCACAUCUUAGAGAAAAUAUUUACAUGUCCUAAAUUCAACAUUUUUUUCAUAUCUUUAUGAAACUUGGUCAGAAUAUUUGUCUGCAUACUAUCUUGAAAGUUUUUUAAUAUGGGCCAUCUCGGUUCACAUUCUAGGUCACUAGGUCAAAUCUUAGGAAAAUCAUUCCACAUCAUAAAUUGAACAAUUUUUAUACGCCCAUCUUACGAUGGCCGUAUUAUGGGAACACCCAUGGCGGGCGGGCGGUCGGCGCCACAAUGUUGUCCGCUCUCUUACUUGAACAUUUCUCAUCCAAUUUCCACCAAACUUCAUGGAAGUGUUUGUUGGUGAAAUAUCUAGGUCAAGUUCGAUAACCAGCCAAAUCGCUCUAGGCACUCCAGAGUUAUGGCCCCCUGAAUUUGUCAAAAUUGGGCGGCUCCACAAUGUUGUCCGCUCUCUAACUUGAACAUUUCUCAUCCAAUUUCCACCAAACUUCAUGAAAGUGUUUGUUGGUGAAAUAUCUAGGUCAAGUUCGAUAACCAGCCAAAUCGCUUUAGGCACUCAAGAGUUAUGGCCCCCUGAAUUUGUCAAAAUUGGCCAUUUUAGCUUUGUCCGCUCUCUAACUUGAUCAUUUCUCAUCCAAUUUCCACCAAACGUCAUGAAAGUGUUUGUUGGUGAAAUAUCUCGGUCAAGUUCAAUAACCAGCCAAAUCGCUUUAGGCACUCCAGAGUUAUGGCCCCCUGAAUUUGUCAAAAUUGUCCAUUUUAGCUCUGUCCGCUCUCUAACUUGAACAUUUCUCAUCCAAUUUCCACCAAACUUCAUGAAAGUGUUUGUUGGUGAAAUAUCUAGGUCAAGUUCGAUAACCAGCCUAAUCGCUUUAGGCACUCCAGAGUUAUGGCCCCCUGAAUUUAUCAAAAUUGGCCAUUUUAGCUUUGUCUACUCUCAAACUUGAACAGUUUUUAUCCGAAUUUCACCAAACUUGCUACUAUAAAUGUUUGUUGGUAUAUAUUCUUGGCAAAGUUCUAUAACCAGCCAGGCUCUUCAGGAUUAUGGCCCUUGAAUUGGUCAAAAUUUGCCAUUUUUGCUUUGUCCACUGUCCAAUUUGAACAGUUAUCAUCUGAUCUUCACCAAACUUGCUGAAAAUAUUUGUUGGUAAAAUAAAUCGGUCAAGUAUGAUAAUCAGCCAAAUGCCCCGAAGCACUUCAGGAUUACUGCCCUUGCCAUUUAAGCUUUGUCUACUCUCUAGCUUGAACAAUUCUCAUCUGACCUUCACCAAACUUGCUGAAAAUGUUUGUAGCUAUAAAAUCUUUACCAAGAAUGUUUGCCGGUAUAAAUGCUUUGCCUCAAAGGGCCAAUGUGACAGUAAGUUGUCUUAGAAUCCAAGAAAUUAUUGAUGGGCGUAUUUUGUGAGUGUCACUCUUGUUGUCAAAUCUUUAUGAAACUUGGUCAGAAUAUUUGUCUGCAUAAUAUCUUAAAAGUUUAAUAAUAUGGGUCAUCCCCGGUCAAAACCUAGGUCACAAGGUCAAAUCUUAGAAGAAAGAAUUCCACAGUCAUAAAAAUUCAUUAAUUUUAGUCAAAUCUUUUUUAAACUUGGUCUGAAUAUUUGUCUACAUGUUGUCUUAAUCAUUUGUGAAUAUAGGUCACCUCAGAUCAAAAACUAAGUCACUAGGUCAAAUCUUAGGAAAUACUUUCCUGAUGUCAUAAAAAAAAAAUUAUGCUUACCAAAGCUAUCCAUAUCAGUUAAUAACUAAAUUCAAUUGUUAUUUUAUAAACACACAUCCCAAUCAUGAAUUUCAGAUCUAACCAUAUUUUUCAAAAAUUUAAAUUUUAAUUAACUUUAAAAAUAUUUAUGUACAUGAAAUCUUAGAUGAUAAAGUGUGUCAUCUAGGGUCAAAAACUAGGUCUCUGGGACAGAUCUUAUUGGAAAAGCAAAAUUAGGUUUGUCUGUCAAUCAUAGAAAACUUGUUUUUUUUUGCAUUGCAGCAUUUCUUGCUUAAUUUUUAUUUUGUCUCUUUAUUGCAUAUUACCUUUAUCAUUAUUGUAUUCUUUUCUAAGACAAAGCGGCAUACAGUUGAGAGCACUGCCCCAUGACAGCUCUUGUAUAUCCUAAAUAAUACAAUAGUGAUAUACCCUGAUAUAGGUAGUUUUGGUACAUAAUCACAGUGUUAAUUUUAGCUUUACUGACCAAAGAUCAGAAUAUCUAAUGUGAUUGUAAUGUGUAUGUAUUAUGUGCUUCCGAGCGCCUGUAAACAAUUGCUUGUGAACACCAUACAGUCUUUAGUUAUGAUUGUAUCUCAAAAAAACAGUAUUUAGAUAUCCAAUAGCUCGGUUCCUUUCGAAAACCAGUCAGAUCUGCCCAUGCAUGCCUAGAUUAUGGGCCUUGAACGUCUGUAAACAAUUGCUUGUGAACAUGAUACAGUCUUCAGUUUUGAUUGUAUAUAGAUGAAACUUGUACAGUAUUAAGAUAUCAAUUAGUGCUUGGUUCCUUUUGAAAACCAGAUCCGCCCAUGCAUGCCUAGUUUAUGGGCCUCAAAAAAUGCUAUUUUUAUGUAAGUCUAUUUUUAGCCAAGUCUACAUGAGCGAAGUCUAUUUUUAGAAAAGUUUACAUGUAAAGUCACAAAUUCAUGUGAAAAAUUGUUUAAAUUAGGCCCCUGGGGUCAUUAUUGGCCACGCCACUGGGUUCACAGGUUUGAUAUACUUAAAUUGGGAAAUGUUUGAAAAUCUUUAUGUCUGAAACAACUAUGCAGACCCUUGUUAUUUUGAAUAGGGAUUAUUUUAGUGGUCUGCUACCAGGGUUGUUCAAAUUAUGCCCCUAGGGUCAAAACUGGCACUGCCCCCGGGGGUCACAAGUUUUUUAAGAACUAUUUUCAAAAUCUUCUUGUUUCAAACCACAAUGCUCAUAUCUUUGAUAUUUGUUGUGGAGCAUUAUACAUGUAUGUACACAGUCUAGCAAAACAGUUGAAAUUAUGUGCCCUGGGCCGGGGCCAAAGCUGGCCCCAUCCCUUUUGUCCUUUUAAAGCUACAAAAAUGAAAUUUUGACCAAUAGUACAGUUUUGUAGCAAAUUUUAUUCUCCUCAGAUGACCUUUACUUGGCACAUAUCAGAAUACUAGUAGUUCAUGCAACUAAUCUGCUUACAACACUUUUAAGCUAACCCAAACACAAAACGUAAACAAUAUCUGGAUUAAAAAUAACCACAUGAGCCAUGCCAGUAGAGCAUAGGCCCUCAUGGGCCCCUUUUUUUUUUAGAAAAAAAAGCACACUGACCAACCCUAUUUAUUUUAGAGAAGUUAGCUUAAACUAAGAACUUUUUUACCUUACUUUUAUAUUAGAUAGUGUAUUACUAAGAUUUUUGCUUAAAGCUCCAUUUAAGGUAACUGUUCAUCUCAAAUGUAAUAGCUUUGCCUUCAAACUUUUAAAAGUUCAUUGAACCAGUGGGUUCAUCAAGAUGCAUAUCUGUAAAUGUUUCUCCCUAAUAUGGGCUUUUAUGUAUGCAAACAGAACAUUGAACAAUUGCCUUUCUGUGUAAAGUAAUCCCUGUCCAGAACAAUUGUCAAAUUGCUGUGUCAGCACUUGUUUGAAUGGAUUUAUUUUAUUUUCAUAUUAUGAUUUCAAAUAAAGUAUUUAAAAAUGUU